AGACCCGAAACCCGGUGAUCUAGCCAUGGGCAGGUUGAAGGUUGGGUAACACUAACUGGAGGACCGAACCGACUAAUGUUGAAAAAUUAGCGGAUGACCUGUGGCUGGGGGUGAAAGGCCAAUCAAACCGGGAGAUAGCUGGUUCUCCCCGAAAGCUAUUUAGGUAGCGCCUCGUGAAUUCAUCUCCGGGGGUAGAGCACUGUUUCGGCUAGGGGGCCAUCCCGGCUUACCAACCCGAUGCAAACUGCGAAUACCGGAGAAUGUUAUCACGGGAGACACACGGCGGGUGCUAACGUCCGUCGUGAAGAGGGAAACAACCCAGACCGCCAGCUAAGGUCCCAAAGUCAUGGUUAAGUGGGAAACGAUGUGGGAAGGCCCAGACAGCCAGGAUGUUGGCUUAGAAGCAGCCAUCAUUUAAAGAAAGCGUAAUAGCUCACUGGUCGAGUCGGCCUGCGCGGAAGAUGUAACGGGGCUAAACCAUGCACCGAAGCUGCGGCAGCGAACGUAUCACCCAAGACAACUUUACGGAGUUGACGAUUGACGGAGCGAAGCGACGUCAAAGCGUUCAUUAAAGUCGAGUUGGCUUAGGGAUACGUUCGUUGGGUAGGGGAGCGUUCUGUAAGCCUGUGAAGGUGGCCUGUGAGGGUUGCUGGAGGUAUCAGAAGUGCGAAUGCUGACAUAAGUAACGAUAAAGCGGGUGAAAAGCCCGCUCGCCGGAAGACCAAGGGUUCCUGUCCAACGUUAAUCGGGGCAGGGUGAGUCGACCCCUAAGGCGAGGCCGAAAGGCGUAGUCGAUGGGAAACGGGUUAAUAUUCCCGUACUUGGUGUUACUGCGAAG
RNAcentral lists this ribosomal RNA (838 nucleotides) under Salmonella enterica subsp. enterica serovar Epalinges. RNAcentral's name for it is "partial 23S ribosomal RNA". It matches the Rfam family "Bacterial large subunit ribosomal RNA", at positions 711 to 1461 of the family's 2925-position model. Lineage: Bacteria; Pseudomonadati; Pseudomonadota; Gammaproteobacteria; Enterobacterales; Enterobacteriaceae. The record is from RNAcentral.